This 497-nucleotide ribosomal RNA is filed under the name uncultured bacterium. RNAcentral describes it as "partial 16S ribosomal RNA". It matches the Rfam family "Bacterial small subunit ribosomal RNA", at positions 28 to 507 of the family's 1533-position model. The record is from RNAcentral.
GAUGAACGCUGGCGGCGUGCCUAAUACAUGCAAGUCGAGCGAACGGACGAGAAGCUUGCUUCUCUGAUGUUAGCGGCGGACGGGUGAGUAACACGUGGAUAACCUACCUAUAAGACUGGGAUAACUUCGGAAAACCGGAGCUAAUACCGGAUAAUACUUUGAACCGCAUGGUUCAAAAGUGAAAGACGGUCUUGCUGUCACUUAUAGAUGGAUCCGCGCUGCAUUAGCUAGUUGGUAAGGUAACGGCUUACCAAGGCAACGAUGCAUAGCCGACCUGAGAGGGUGAUCGGCCACACUGGAACUGAGACACGGUCCAGACUCCUACGGGAGGCAGCAGUAGGGAAUCUUCCGCAAUGGGCGAAAGCCUGACGGAGCAACGCCGCGUGAGUGAUGAAGGUCUUCGGAUCGUAAAACUCUGUUAUUAGGGAAGAACAUAUGUGUAAGUAACUGUGCACAUCUUGACGGUACCUAAUCAGAAAGCCACGGCUAACUACGUG